Long non-coding RNA from Ostrinia furnacalis (Asian corn borer), 2703 nucleotides. RefSeq lists it as uncharacterized. The transcript has 2 exons. NCBI's taxonomy places the organism in Eukaryota, Metazoa, Arthropoda, Insecta, Lepidoptera, Crambidae. The record is from RefSeq and is a predicted model, not a curated record.
CAUGCAGCAUUUGGACCUCGCGUCUACGUAUUGCCAUCUGGCGGAUUUUUCAUACGCGAACACCCUCAUUGCAAUAAUUUCCGCAUAAAUAUUACGUUUCAUUUCCAGGCGAUGCUGAUGGUGGAUUUAUAAUCCGGCAAGGUCUUCGCAUUUCGCAAGGAAACAUAACCGAAUAACGUCCGAAUGCAACGGAAUCGGAACUAAAACAAUACUUUCCACUUCGAGCACUGUGCGAGCACGGGAAGUUAACGGUCCGCCGUAAACAGGGACAUUCAUUUCAUUUAAGCACGUCAUCCAACAGUGGUAACGGUAUAUGAACAACGAUGGCAACCACGAUGAGUCAUACAAUGUGAUUACAAUGGCACGAGUACGAGUGCCUCAUGAGCUCCGAAAUUAAUUUCCGCUCUACUAAAAAUCCAAAGGGGUGUUCUCCAUCGAUGCAUUAAGUAAACAAAGUCACAUUUGCGCUUCGAUUGUUGGCAAUGAUGAAAAUAUUGCAUCAAUGGCACACAAAUUCACACAAUGUACCUACUACGGGCAUCAAAAAGCCAAUAGGUAUACCGUAGACAUUUUUAGUGUCUGGAAUUAAUAAACAAAAUAAACACAAGGUGCACCGGUGACCAACGAACGGCUGUAAUUUGCAUGGGCAAUAAAUAACGGCGCGGCGGAGAUAGCAUCGCGCCCUGUUCGAUUCACUCGCACUAUCAUAUAAUAACUUAUACGAGCUAGCUACUAUCACUAGUUGAACGCCCUGUCUUGGCACCGUUUACGCGAUCCAACAGACGAGUUAUCACAAUAAGUUUGUUUUCUCCGCUGUAUUGCCUUUUCAGUUAAAAGAAAACCUUUAAGAGUAAAUUUUGAAAUCUAACAAUUACAGACCGAAAAUAUUCUAACUACAAUCCGAAUGCCCCUGAAAAGCCCGACAGUAUUUAAUAUCAAAAUACAUACUCUACAUCCCUUAAUUAGCAAUGAAGAAUUUGAAAUAAGUUGAUUAUUUUACCAUCUUGUUUUUUUUUUAACUAACAUGCUAAUUAUUUACUACAUAAGGAAUUUUGAUGCAGUUUUUAUAUUUUAUAAGGGACAAGCAUAUUCCAGGCCCCAGUCAUACACAGCCAGACUAGUAAUGUGAUAAACAAACAACCACAUAUAGAAGGGAAUCCGAACUAAUCAGUUUUAUGAAGCCCUUUGUUGACUUGUGAGUAAACAACGUGAGUCAAGAAUAACAACUUAUUUAUAGAAUGAAAUAUAUUGUGGUUUUAAUAUCGUUGGGUUUUAUACUUCAAUAAAUUUCAACGACAAAACGCUGGACUUUAUCCUAAUUGCACAACAAUGCGCUGGAAUUUAAGUCCCAAUAAAAGAUGGCUGAUUCCAGAAGAAUGCAGUCUCAUCAUUUUUUUUUCACACAGUGGCCUGAUUGUCAAUAGGAAAUGGAGCCCUUCCUUGUUAUGGCAAUGCUCUAUUCAACAGCCGUAUUAUGAAAAUACGACAGAUGAGCCGUGCUGCCAUGUCGCGCGACGCCGUGGCAUUUGGUAAACAUGCAAGAAGACCCAUAUGCGCUCAAGUUACUUUAGCGCAUGAUUCUACUUAUUUUACGUAUUUUCUGAUUCAGAUAUGAUAUUACCUAGCUAGACUUGCGAGUCCAGAAGUGAAUACUCACUACAGUAUUAAAAAGUUACAGCUUACAAUACUAGUUUAAUAUCUUAACUGAACAAUGCAAAUUGCAAUAUGCAAUACAACACAAACAAACGCAAUUCGUAAUGUAAAGAAGAACCCAUAUAAAAAUCAAGCAGCCCCCAUGAAUUGGCACGCGCUUUUGUUCAACACAAGGGUGUUAAAAUAACUUAUUCUCCUGUGAUUAAUAAAGGUAUAUGUGUAUAAGAACUUCAUUGCAUUGAAUACCAGUAAUAUUAGGUCAGCAAUAAUGGCCAAAGGACGCGCAGGAGGCUGAGGAAGUAGGGUUGAGACGGGAGAAGCGGUUUGUCGACCUCCUACGUAUUAUUGGCUCGCUGCGAACGAUAGAGAUCCGGACCGGACCCACCGCCUACGACUAAUAGCGUCGCAAAACCUGCUGCAACAGGCCCCGUGACUUUUUGCACUUGAAAAUGUAAAACUGUCCCUAAAUCAUAUCACAGUUUGCGGACCAACGAGUCAAGGUAAGGUGUUUUGCAGCAGAGUAGUAUGUAUAGAGUCUAUGGAGCUGUGAAUCAAAAUCAGCUUGACGUGACAAAAGGCAAAAGGAUUUAACUUUUAUUCUUCGGGUAGGUAGUUUAAAAAGAUAAGACUGACUGUUAGUUCAAUGUUUCAAGUACUUUACAUAGUGAAUUAGUUAGAGUAGGUUCUUAUACGGCUCCAAUUAGUUUUAGUUCCAAUAUGCUUGCAAAUUAAUGUUUCUUCAAUUACCUAUAUCUAUAGGAGAAUUCGUACUCACUAUCACAGCAAAUCUUUUUCACAACUCAAAAAUUUGUUAGAUUCAAAGUUACAAGAGUAUUUUCAACUGCGCCUAUAUUAUCCUGCAGUUCCUGGAGACUAGGGGUCUGUGGUAUAAUAAUUGCUAUUAUUUUAAUUCCCGUACAAGUAUACAUUAAGUACAUUUGUUUCACCUACAUUUUCGUUAAAAUUACAGUGUAACAACAUCAACAAAAGCCGAGCGAUGUGUAUUUAUUUACUGCCGGAAGACCACUACCGGGACUCAGCGUUACGACC